RNAcentral lists this long non-coding RNA (1469 nucleotides) under Volvox carteri. Its description in RNAcentral is "long non-coding RNA (VCAR_LNC001718)". Lineage: Eukaryota; Viridiplantae; Chlorophyta; Chlorophyceae; Chlamydomonadales; Volvocaceae. The record is from RNAcentral.
CAGACGGCAUCAUCCACCAAAGCUCUGCCUACGAUGAAGAAAGGUGACAUAAGCAUGAUGCCGCUCUGCCUGAGAUAUGGGUGCCGGUUUGGAAGCCGUUGAGGAUGGAGGCGUAUGUUGGCUACUGGCUCAUAUCACGAGGCAUGACACGUGAAUAGUGACCACUGGUGAGUUGUUCUCUGGGGGAAAUCAUGAUGUAACAUUAAGGCAACUACCCAGGUUCAAACAGGAAGAAGCCGUUGAGGAAGUAUGUUACUACUAGUAACUAGUAACUCAUAUACGGAGCUAAAACUUAAGAAUGGUGAAGUGUUCUCUGGGGAUGUCAUGAUAGAACGGGGUGGAUUAGGCAAAUAACCCAGUUCCGACCUGAGUUCGAUUCCCGGGCAUGCUUUUUCUGCUUGGGAGGUGAUAGCUGUGACUACAGGUAUCUACACAGUUGCGUCCAUCACUCUGAGAUUGACAGAUAGUUGGGGACCCCCUGAUUUUGAGGGGGAAUAAUUGUCAUUCAUGUGCAAGCAAACAAGGGCAACUGCAGUUUUUGGAUUUUGUGUCAAAUUACCUCUUGCUGCAUAUAUUCUGUAUGGAGUCUCCUAUACAGGGUUUGGCGUAUUUAACUUCUGAUGGGCAUGUUUGUCUGUCUACAGGGCCCACCCAGCAACCUGCAGCUGCUGUGGACAACACCACAUGCUUUCCCCACCACACAUCAGCACGCAGAGUCAGUGGAAGGUUAAAGCAGUAGUAAGGUGUGUGGCAUAAAACUGCAUUCUAAGUUCCACAUCACAGUCAUUGCAGUUCUUGAUGGUCUGACAAAGGUGCUACUGUAUGCCCCUGCCUGAUCUUUGCUGCAUACAGGCUCACAAGCUGCUUGUGGAGGACUGCUGCUGCAGCAAUGUCUUGUAGUGUUAACUAACGGCGAUAGAGGACUAAUACUAGGCAUGACUACCAGAAGGUGUUAGGGUGGAUAGUGCAUGUGACCUAUGAUGUAGCAUGUUUUGAGGCAAAUUUUGUUGAGAUGGAUGAGCUGCAGCUGGGUGCACCCAAUAUGAAACUGUUUGGAGCUGUUUCAAAGCUUCUGCUGCAGCAGCUGCUGCAUACAGGCUCACAAGCCGCUUGUGGAGAAGCUACUGCUAGCAGCAGCACUGCUGCACUGUACAGUCACUGUACAGACUUGUCUCGGAGUGUUAACUGACGGUGAUGGAGGACUUCUUCUAGGCAUGAAUACCAGAAAGUGUUAGGGUGGAUAGAGCGCUUCUGAGCUAUAAUGUAGCAUGUUUUGAGGCAAAUUGUUGACAGAUUGAUGAGCUGCAGCUGCAGCAGCCGCUGUUGUGGAAAUGUUUGGUGCUGUUUGGAAGCUGCAGAUUGUUUGGAAGCUGCAGCUGCUUCAGCUGAAGCAGGCAAUGCAUAUGGCUUAAUGUUGUUACAUAGCAGGACUUCGGAAUUUCGUGUGCAUGUAGCUGCUGCUAGGCGAU